Molecule: ribosomal RNA, 801 nt
Filed under: uncultured bacterium
Lineage: Bacteria
Description: bacterial SSU rRNA
Rfam family: Bacterial small subunit ribosomal RNA
Source: RNAcentral
GCCCUGCGCAAGCAGGGAGUGGCGGACGGGUGAGGAACACGUGGGUCAUCUACCCUUAGGUGAGGAAUACCGGCGAGAAAUCGCCGACAAUACCGCAUAGGCUCGGGAACGAGCAAAGCCCGCAAGGGCGCCUGAGGAUGAGCCUGCGCUCGAUUAGUUAGUUGGUGGGGUAAUGGCCUACCAAGACUGCGAUCGAUAGCUGGUCUGAGAGGACGAUCAGCCACACUGGGAUUGAGAACGGCCCAGACUCCUACGGGGGGCAGCAGUGAGGAAUUUUCGUCAAUGGGGGCAACCCUGAACGAGCAACGCCGCGUGCAGGAAGAAGGUUUUCGGAUCGUAAACUGCUUUUCUCUGGGACGAGAACGGACGGUACCAGAGGAAUCAGCCUCGGCUAACUACGUGCCAGCAGCCGCGGUAAUACGUAGGAGGCGAGCGUUGUCCGGAGUUACUGGGCGUAAAGCGCACGCAGGCGGUCAGGUAAGUCUGCGGUGACAGUCGUCGGCUCAACUGACGAAGUACUAUGGAAACUGUUUGACUUGAGGGCUUCAGAGGGACACGGAAUUCCGGGUGGAGUGGUGAAAUGCGUAGAUAUCCGGAGGAACACCAAUGGCGAAGGCAGUGUCCUGGGAAGUACCUGACGCUCAGGUGCGAAAGCUAGGGGAGCGAACAGGAUUAGAUACCCUGGUAGUCCUAGCCGUAAACGAUGACCACUAGACGUUGGGGGUAUCGACCCCUUCAGUGUCGUAGUUAACACAAUAAGUGGUCCGCCUGGGGAGUACGGUCGCAAGAUUAAAACUCAAA